AAUGGUAGACGCUACGGACUUAAAAUCCGUUGGUUUUUUACAAUCGUGAGGGUUCAAAUCCCUCUACCCCCA
Molecule: transfer RNA, 72 nt
Filed under: Equisetum sylvaticum
Lineage: Eukaryota; Viridiplantae; Streptophyta; Polypodiopsida; Equisetales; Equisetaceae
Description: partial tRNA-Leu
Rfam family: tRNA
About the family: Transfer RNA (tRNA) molecules are approximately 80 nucleotides in length. Their secondary structure includes four short double-helical elements and three loops (D, anti-codon, and T loops). Further hydrogen bonds mediate the characteristic L-shaped molecular structure. tRNAs have two regions of fundamental functional importance: the anti-codon, which is responsible for specific mRNA codon recognition, and the 3' end, to which the tRNAs corresponding amino acid is attached (by aminoacyl-tRNA synthetases). tRNAs cope with the degeneracy of the genetic code in two manners: having more than one tRNA (with a specific anti-codon) for a particular amino acid; and 'wobble' base-pairing, i.e. permitting non-standard base-pairing at the 3rd anti-codon position.
Source: RNAcentral